UGAAUAAAUCUUUGGGCCUGUGCGAGCAGGGACUUUGUGAGUGGGGCUGACCGGAUUGAGAAGAAGUCCUAAAUUCAUUUCCCAACAACCACAUGAAGGAUCACAACCAUAUCUGUACAGCUACAGUGUAUUGACGUACAAUUAAAUAAAUAAGUAAAUAAACAAACAAACAAAUAAAAUAAAUGUAAAAUGUACAUUGUCAAGACUGAUAUUUUUUAAUUUAAGUUGUUUUUUUUUAAAGCCUGGUUUUAUUUAUUUAUUUAUUUAUCUAUUUAUUUAUUUAUUUAUUUAUUAUAUGUAAGUACACUAUAGUGUGUCUUCAGACACUACAGAAGAGAGCAUCAGAUCUCAUUACAGAUGGUUGUGAGCCACCAUGUGGUUGCUGGGAAUUGAACUCAGGACCUUUGGAAGAGCAGUCUGCGCUCUUAACACUGAGCCAUCUCUCCAGCCCAAGACUGAUUUUUUUUUUUUAAGCAUUUAAAUAUUCCAAAGUAAAUACUUUUGGAAAUAAGUUUUGCCUCAGAGAUAUCUAAAUGUCUUAAGUGCUAGAAAUGUUAAAGAAAAGUAUGUAAACAACUAUUUCUAUUUAUUUCUACAUUUAAGUACAAAUUUUAUGGUGUAUUUUUCAGGGUUUUUUUUUUUUUUUUUUUUUUUUUUUUGUAGUGGAUAGUUUUACUGUCAUAAAACCAAUGGAGGUAAAUUAACUAAUUUGCCUUACUUAGCUCUUCUGGUGAAAGUUUAAACACAUGAAGUUUAGUAUUAAUAUAUAUUAUCAUUACAUGUGAUUUAAAAUCUACUCUUUAAGUCAUUAUCAUUUCACAAUUGACAGUAUGCUCAAUCUAACUAGCAUAGUAUAGGUUGUAUAUGAUAGAGCUUCCAUAGUUGUUCAUUUAACCCUAUAUUGAAUAUAUAUUUUUUUUUUGCUUAAAUCUCUACAUUUCUCUGUUUAAUUACCAUUUUAGGGACUGCCUGUACAGUAAUGUAGCGUGGCGUGGAAGGCUGAGUGCUUGAGAUGACGAGAAGGCGAGCGUCCUGCAGGUCUGCGCCUUUGCCUGCUGCCUAGGGUGCAGCUUUGGCUUUUGUGCUGUGUCUCACAGAUGGGGUCAGAGCCGCUGUAGACUGGGCUGUGGGGACUUGAUACAGUUGAGAAAAGUUGGAGGGGGUUAAUCAUGGCUUAUCACAAGACUACUAAGUAUAUAACACAAAUUAUAUUGCUUUUUGUAAUUUUCAGUUUUUAAUGUAAGAUUUGAAUUUGUGCUUUGUUAGUAAUGCUCUAGGUACCUGCUAGUUCUUAGGAAGAUAGUCAUCACUGUGUGGUAUUUGGUCUCGGACCUCACAUGACCCUUUAUUUAUCCCAGUGUGCUGUGGUUGUUGACCAUGGCAAUGUCAGUAAUGCUGUGUAGGAUUCUAAUUCUUCUCUUGUUUAGGGAAGAGACAUGCCAACAACAAGAAGAAAACAACAAGAAGAAAAAAACCCAGUAUUUUGUACUUUUACGUAGUCAAGAACAGUUUACCCAGAAAGUGGUAGUUGUAUAGCCACCAUUCUAUAGUAUAAGACACAUUCGACCGCUACACCUGAGAGUCAUUCUGUCAGCUCAAGCUUUCAAAAUGAUGCUUUAACCCUGCAUGGACAUUUGUACCUCCCCUUUCCACCACACAGAGGAGAUCUGGCUUCUGGUCUGUUCACUGUGCUGGCUGGAAGACAGUGUCUCUCAUGCCUACAAACUAGAAUGAGUUUCAAGCUGGCAGUAGCUA
Molecule: long non-coding RNA, 1755 nt
Filed under: Mus musculus (house mouse)
Lineage: Eukaryota; Metazoa; Chordata; Mammalia; Rodentia; Muridae
Description: long non-coding RNA chr4:150416262-150418017
Source: RNAcentral